RNAcentral lists this ribosomal RNA (458 nucleotides) under Trichoderma harzianum. RNAcentral describes it as "partial small subunit ribosomal RNA". Lineage: Eukaryota; Fungi; Ascomycota; Sordariomycetes; Hypocreales; Hypocreaceae. The record is from RNAcentral.
UUGAGGUGAAAUGCUUACACUUUCAUUUAUAGACCAAAUUAAUGUUUAAUUUAUAAUUUGUAAUUAUAAUAUUAAAUCUUAAUCUGACCUAUGGCAUUCAUCAUUUACUGCAAAGACUACUUGGGUAUCUAAUCCUGUUUGUGCUCUGUGCCUUCGUCCUUUAACGUCAGUUUCUACAUAGAGGGCUGCCUUCGCCUUUACCGAGUCCCUUUGGUAUCAUAGAAUUUCAUCUCUCCUCCUCAAGUACUGCSCUCUUACAUAAACUCUAGUCAAGUACUAACAUUAUAGAAGCUAUAUUGACCGUCUAGGUACCCUUUAAACCUAAUUAAGAUGAAUAACACUAGUCUCUUACGUAUUACCGCGACUGCUGGCACGCAAUUAGUCAAGACACGAUAUAUAUACUGUCAUUAUCAAUAUAUAAACAAAGCUUUAUUCAAUUUUAAUACAAUCCUAUAGAU